AGGGAGCAGGAGCAGGUGACAGGCUGGAGGCUGAUGGGGGCUCUUUCUUAGGCCCAGGAGGGAGGGGUGACCCCUGAAAUGGGGAGGUUUUUCCCAGGUCCCUGCUCCUGCAGGAGCUCCCUCCCUCUGAGGUUCCAGUGGGAGGGUCUCAAAUGUCUGUGGGCAUCAUCUCCGGGGCUGUGGGUGGGGAUCUGUGAGCCCACCCUCUUCCCUGUGUGGUAGAGUAAUGUGCUCUGAAUGCCUGGGUUUGGUAGAAGGUUGUGCAGGGGGAUAUGGUCUGUCUCUUGUACAGAAGAGAGAUGCUGAGAACCAGCUCAGCCAAGAAUCACGAGGGAAAGCUCAGCAGAAAGAGACUGAAUGAUGUGGUUGGAGUGAGAGUCAUGGACAAAUGGGUGGGCAAGAGCCCUUGCAGAAGCUGGGAACAAGCCUGGGAAAGGAGCGGUCUCUUCACCAGGGGGGCUUCUCCAGCUUUAAAAGGUAAUGCAGCUGGAGUGACUGAUGGGAUGGAUGUGAAGACUAAGAUGAAGAGACCCCAGGAGAGUGGGACACUGAGACUCCCCAGGAGGGCAGUUGGCUGCCCCAGGAAGGAGGGCAGGUCCCCCAGCCUGCAGCUUACACACAGUGGGGGUCCCUGGUCCUGUUGGGAGACCGCUAAGGCUUCUCAGGCCAGCAGCCUGUGCAGGUCUGAGCUGUGGCUGGAGGUGCCGGCCAGCUUGUGUUGCACUGAGUGCCUGGGGGGGGCGGCGGCCAUGGUUGAAUAAGGGCAGGCUUGAUCUCGGAGGCUUCUGAGAUGCAGCCACAGUUCCGCUGCCUGGAAUGAGGCAAAGGAUGCAAAAGGCUGCCCUGGGUCAGGCCGGGCCUCCUUCCCCCUCAUGUGGCUUCUCAAGUUCCGAAGUCACCUUGUGUGGGGGAAUCACCGCACCGAGAGGGACCUGGACAUGGAAAGACCUGGACCUGGAAAGACCAUUGGUGUGAAAGAGCAGAGACCUGGUCCUAGGCCAGGUUGUACUACUACGGACUGGCUUCCAAACCAUGGGUUUAUUCAUUAACCUCUUUGGAUCCUCAGUUCCCACAUCUGUGAAAUGGGAAGGCACCUGAUAGCUGAAGCUACAAAAAAAUCAAACUUACUAAAUAGUAUAAAGACAGGAGACAGCACCCAAAGCAGCCGAGACCUAGCCCACCCUGGCUGAAAGACGGUGACUCCUGUGCCGAAGCAGAGGCUGACAUGGGUGAACAGGACUGCCUGGGGCAGAGCUGUGACCGCUGGGAAACAGGUCCUACCGUAGGCGCUGGGAUAAUAGAGACCCCCUCGGAGCAGCUUAACGGAAGACUGGUGGGCUGCAAACCCAACUGCGGGAAGCCCCGCCUUAGGGUGGGAGGAACCCAAGCGCUUCUUUCGAGUGACGCUUCUUCGUUCCUCUCUCUCGUCUCUCUCGCUUCGGUCUCCCAGAUGUCUUUUCUGCUGCUGAGCAGACUGGCAGGCAGCCGGUGAUGGGGCCCUACUUGGAAGACCCCCUCCUCUGCUGGCUCCUGCGAUUCUUCAGCCUCCUCGUCAGUGUCUACAGCAGUGGGACCAAUGGUGGAGGCCCUGCUCCUGGAGUUCAGGAUUCUGGAGCUCCUGAUCCUCUGCAGGGGAUCCGAGGAGGUUCUGUGCUGUUUCCUUUGCCCAAGAAGCAAGACGCUGAGCUGGAGGAGGUCACGUGGGGCUUUGGUCCUGGGUCAGAGUACAGAGUCCUGCUGCGAGUCCGUCCUGGGAAAGCUCCCACCUGGGUCAGCCUCCAGGACAGGUACCAGCAGAGGGUCCAUGUGCCCAACAUGACGUCCCUGAAGAUUGAGAACCUGACCCCUGAGGACAGUGGGCUGUGCAGGACCUCAGGGGACGCAGAGAACCUGAAGGUGACCUGGGAGGGCAAGGGCCUCCCCAGGGAGCUGGAGGAGAGAGUGACAUCAGGACCAACCCCCAAUUCGUGGACCCUGGCUGUGCACCUGCCCCAGAGCCAGCCCUACACCAACAUCACCUGUGUGGUCAGCAACGAAGUGGACCAGAAAACUGCCACCUUCAACCUUGGGGAAGUCUGUGUCCAUGGUUCACAUGGACAAGCCAAUGCUGUUGCCCUGCCAGGCAUCUUAGGGGCAGGGGCUACUGUGGCUACACUAUUACUGAUCCUUGGAAUUGGACUCUGCCUUUGGAAGAAGAAGAAGAAGAAGAAGAUGGAGACUGCAAGAGGCAGGUUGCCCUUCUCCUUUCUGGCCGAGUUUUCUCCCCUCACCCUUCCUCCUGCAUUUUGCUGCUCCAGGAAUACCUAUGUAGAGGGGAUGGUGGAUUUGGUCAUGGCCUUGGGGUUCAUAACAGUGGGAGAGGGUAUGGGUUUUCAAGGCCCAGGUUCAAGUUUCACUCUGUGUAUGACUCUGGAGCAGGAUUGCAGGAGGAGUCUAAGGACCGUGACGGUGGCAUCCAAUAUGUAGAGCUGAGCCAGCAGGAUUCUCGAGAGAGCACGGACCAG
Molecule: long non-coding RNA, 2504 nt
Filed under: Sus scrofa (pig)
Lineage: Eukaryota; Metazoa; Chordata; Mammalia; Artiodactyla; Suidae
Description: lncRNA (ENSSSCG00050072649.1)
Source: RNAcentral